This is a long non-coding RNA of Hemicordylus capensis (graceful crag lizard), 1104 nucleotides long. RefSeq lists it as uncharacterized. The record is from RefSeq and is a predicted model, not a curated record. The transcript is spliced from 4 exons. NCBI's taxonomy places the organism in Eukaryota, Metazoa, Chordata, Lepidosauria, Squamata, Cordylidae.
UCAAGGAUUCUCAGCAUUGGGUCACCAGAUGUUUUUGGACUUCAACUCCCAUAAUCCCCAACCAAAGGCCACAGGGGCUGGCUGGAGAUUAUGGGAGUUGAAGUCCAAUAACAUCUGAGGACCCAACAUUGAGAAUCCCUGGUGUAUAUUCUGACCCUCUCGCCUAAGUCUGCCUAAUGUUUAUACUCUUAGGAUACAUCUUUCUGGUGGGUUACGUGACAUUCUGUACCAAACAUUCUGAGUAACAAGUUUCUGAUGGGUAUCUGGUUAUCUGGUCUUCUGGUUAUCUCUCUAGUAGCUGGUAAACGAAUUAUAUAAUAUCGCUAUGUCCAUAUUUGGUUGGCCAUCCCUUGGGUCUUCUGGUUGUCUUCAUUACUGCAAGAUGUUCAUGGGGAUGGAGUGUAUAAAAGUUCUCAACAAGGUUUACACAGGAAAAGAAUAAUAAGAAAAUGAUUCCCUGUCCCUGCAAAGGGAAAGUCUAAAAAGAAACACAAGCUAGACAUCACCAGAAGCCACUGGAGGAUGCUGAUCUGGGGCUGAACAGGGACAGUAUGCUAAAUAUGAAGAGAAGAGAACCACUACUGUGAAAGAUGCUAGCCAAUUUCCAGGUUUUCCACACAAUUCUCUGAUGUCAUAUCACUUCCUCUUGGAUUUCUGUUACGUUUCUCUGCGACGCUGGUCUGGUGUUGUGUGAUACUUUUCUUUCGGGUUAAAAGAGUUGGUGCUACUGUCGCCCACCUCACAACUCUUAAACAGUAGCAGGCUGCAGGCAAGAGCAGCAAGGAACAACAGAGGGAAGCAGUAGGCAUACAAAAUGGAGGCAGAGACAACAUGGUGAAAAUGAAAUUUAAGGUUGCUCCAUUUUACUCAGUGGCUGGAAAGCAUCUCUCAUUUAUAUAAGUCUCUUCCAGAUAGAAUGGCAACUCUGUUCUUUGGUUGUCCCUAAUCCUCUCUCUAAUUGCCAAAGCUGACAUCUCUUCAAUCUACUAGUCAGGGUUGUGGUGGUAGGGGGGCUGUGUUUAGCUUUCUUCUCUUUCACUUUACAGUAGAAAGGAUCUUCUGUUUUAUUUAUACAAGGAAUGGAUGUAGACAAUAAAAGCUUGA